This 24-nucleotide ribosomal RNA is filed under the name Lodderomyces orthopsilosis. Its description in RNAcentral is "Candida orthopsilosis partial 18S ribosomal RNA". The record is from RNAcentral. Lineage: Eukaryota; Fungi; Ascomycota; Pichiomycetes; Serinales; Debaryomycetaceae.
GGGGGGGACUCGGAAGGAUCAUUA